AUGCAAGUCGAACGGUAACAGGAUAGCUUGCUAUCGCUGACGAGUGGCGGACGGGUGAGUAAUACUUAGGGAUCUGCCUCUGUGUGGGGGAUAACUAUUGGAAACGAUAGCUAAUACCGCAUAAUGUCUACGGACCAAAGCGGGCUUCGGCUCGUGCGCAGAGAGGAACCUAAGCGAGAUUAGCUAGUUGGUGAGGUAAAGGCUCACCAAGGCGACGAUCUCUAGCUGUUCUGAGAGGAAGAUCAGCCACACUGGAACUGAGACACGGUCCAGACUCCUACGGGAGGCAGCAGUGGGGAAUAUUGCACAAUGGGGGAAACCCUGAUGCAGCCAUGCCGCGUGUGUGAAGAAGGCCUUCGGGUUGUAAAGCACUUUCAGUUGUGAGGAAAGUUUAGUAGUUAAUACCUGCUAGAUGUGACGUUAGCAACAGAAGAAGCACCGGCUAACUCCGUGCCAGCAGCCGCGGUAAUACGGAGGGUGCGAGCGUUAAUCGGAAUUACUGGGCGUAAAGCGCACGCAGGCGGUCUGUUAAGCUAGAUGUGAAAGCCCCGCGCUCAACGUGGGAGGGUCAUUUAGAACUGGCAGACUAGAGUCUUGGAGAGGGGAGUGGAAUUCCAGGUGUAGCGGUGAAAUGCGUA
Molecule: ribosomal RNA, 638 nt
Filed under: Alteromonas sp. 7513
Lineage: Bacteria; Pseudomonadati; Pseudomonadota; Gammaproteobacteria; Alteromonadales; Alteromonadaceae
Description: bacterial SSU rRNA
Rfam family: Bacterial small subunit ribosomal RNA
Source: RNAcentral